GUGCUCACUUUGGCAGCCGAUACACUAAAAUAGGAAUGAUACAGAAAAGAUUCCCAUGGUCCCAAAGCAAGAAUGACAUGCACAUUUGGGAAGUGUUCCACUAAAAA
Molecule: small nuclear RNA, 107 nt
Organism: Gracilinanus agilis (Agile Gracile Mouse Opossum)
Lineage: Eukaryota; Metazoa; Chordata; Mammalia; Didelphimorphia; Didelphidae
Source: RefSeq, a predicted model, not a curated record